UACGUAGGGAGCAAGCGUUAUCCGGAUUUACUGGGUGUAAAGGGCGCGUAGGCGGGUAUACAAGUCAGGUGUGAAAUGCGGAGGCUCAACCUCCGACUUGCACUUGAAACUGUGUAUCUUGAGUGAUGGAGAGGCAGGCGGUAUUCCCGGUGUAGCGGUGAAAUGCGUAGAUAUCGGGAGGAACACCAGUGGCGAAGGCGGCCUGCUGGACAUUAACUGACGCUGAUGCGCGAAAGCGUGGGGAGCAAACAGG
Molecule: ribosomal RNA, 253 nt
Filed under: uncultured bacterium
Lineage: Bacteria
Description: partial 16S ribosomal RNA
Rfam family: Bacterial small subunit ribosomal RNA
Source: RNAcentral